GGGUGCUGCACGGCUGCGUCAGCUCGUGUCGUGAGAUGUUGGGUAAGUCCCGCAACGAGCGCAACCUCGUGUUUAGUUGCUAACAGUUCGGCUGAGAACUCUAAACAGACUGCCUACGCAAGUAGGAGGAAGGUGAGGACGACGUCAAGUCAUCAUGGCCCUUACGGCCAGGGCUACACACGUGCUACAAUGGGGUAUACAAAGAGCAGCGAUACGGUGACGUGGAGCAAAUCUAGAAAAUGCCUCUCAGUUCGGAUUGUAGUCUGCAACUCGACUACAUGAAGUUGGAAUCGCUAGUAAUCGUAGAUCAGCAAUGCUACGGUGAAUACGUUCCCGGGCCUU
RNAcentral lists this ribosomal RNA (342 nucleotides) under uncultured Arcobacter sp. RNAcentral describes it as "bacterial SSU rRNA". It matches the Rfam family "Bacterial small subunit ribosomal RNA", at positions 1036 to 1382 of the family's 1533-position model. Lineage: Bacteria; Pseudomonadati; Campylobacterota; Epsilonproteobacteria; Campylobacterales; Arcobacteraceae. The record is from RNAcentral.